AACGGCCAUACCAUGCUGAAUAUACCGGUUCUCGUUAGAUCACCGAAGUCAAGCAUCAUUGGGCGUGGUCGGUACCUGGUGGGUGACCGCCUGGGAACACCGCGUGCC
RNAcentral lists this ribosomal RNA (108 nucleotides) under Caerostris extrusa. The record is from RNAcentral. Lineage: Eukaryota; Metazoa; Arthropoda; Arachnida; Araneae; Araneidae.